AGCAGCCGCGGUAAUUCCAGCUCCAAUAGCGUAUAUUAAAGUUGUUGCAGUUAAAAAGCUCGUAGUUGAAUUUCGGGGUUAGUAGGUUGGUCAUGCCUCUGGUAUGUACUGGUCUCACUGAUUCCUCCUUCCUGAUGAACCUUAAUGCCAUUAAUUUGGUGUUUUGGGGAAUUUGGACUGUUACUUUGAAAAAAUUAGAGUGUUUAAAGCAAGCUAACGCUUGAAUACAUUAGCAUGGAAUAAUGAAAUAGGACGUUCGAUCCUAUUUUGUUGGUUUCUAGGGUUGACGUAAUGAUUAAUAGGGAUAGUUGGGGGCAUUAGUAUUCAAUUGUCAGAGGUGAAAUUCUUGGAUUUAUUGAAGACUAACUACUGCGAAAGCAUUUGCCAAGGAUGUUUUCAUUAAUCAAGAACGAAAGUUAGGGGAUCGAAGACGAUCAGAUACCGUCGUAGUCUUAACCAUAAACUAUGCCGACUAGGGAUCGGAUGAUGUUAAUUUUUUAAUGACUCAUUCGGCGCCUUA
RNAcentral lists this small RNA (520 nucleotides) under uncultured Glomus. RNAcentral describes it as "SSU rRNA". It matches the Rfam family "Eukaryotic small subunit ribosomal RNA", at positions 569 to 1090 of the family's 1831-position model. Lineage: Eukaryota; Fungi; Glomeromycota; Glomeromycetes; Glomerales; Glomeraceae. The record is from RNAcentral.